UGCAAGUGAACAAUCAGCAUUUCUUAUUGAGCCAUGCUAAUGUUUCUCUUUGUUUAAUUGCGUACUCCUUUUGUUUACUUCUUCAGAAAGCACUUCGCUCUAUUGCACACAAGCAAGAGCUAUUUCUGCACCAAUCUGUCCGAAGAUAUAAAGUUUGAACCAGCCCUUAGCUUGCAUUUGGUCUGACCUGACUCUUCUUUGUACGUAUGUAAUUGGUUUAUUUCUUGAUAGGGUGGUACUCUCUGAAUUUCUUGAUGAGCGUUCCCGUUGCUGCACCGCAUUGUGGUCAAGUCCUCUUCUUGGCCAUGCCAGUGACAUGAGCAGGACGGUGUAUACCGGCUUCCCAGACAUGUGUCUGUCGAGGCCGCACCGGGUUUGUGGAGGUGAUGGCACGAGUAUUUACCAGGAUGCUUGGAGAUGCGUUCGCAUAUG
This is a long non-coding RNA of Triticum dicoccoides, 432 nucleotides long. RefSeq lists it as uncharacterized. The record is from RefSeq and is a predicted model, not a curated record. The transcript has 3 exons. Lineage: Eukaryota; Viridiplantae; Streptophyta; Magnoliopsida; Poales; Poaceae.